UACAGAGGUGGCAAGCGUUGUUCGGAAUUACUGGGCGUAAAGGGCGCGUAGGCGGUCUUCUAAGUCUUGUGUGAAAUCCCUCGGCUCAACUGAGGAACUGCACGGGAUACUGGAAGACUUGAGUUCGGGAGAGGGAAGCGGAAUUCCGGGUGUAGCGGUGAAAUGCGUAGAUAUCCGGAGGAACACCGGUGGCGAAGGCGGCUUCCUGGACCAGUACCGACGUUCAGGCACGAAAGCGUGGGGAGCAAACAGG
RNAcentral lists this ribosomal RNA (253 nucleotides) under uncultured bacterium. Its description in RNAcentral is "partial 16S ribosomal RNA". It matches the Rfam family "Bacterial small subunit ribosomal RNA", at positions 524 to 776 of the family's 1533-position model. The record is from RNAcentral.